AGAGGUAUCCUUAAAAUUAUAAGUAGUUUUAUGGAUGUCCAAGCUUAUGCAUGCUCUUCGCACGCAAUUCCUAUCUGUUUACUGUUCUUUUAGCCUACCCGGUUGUGGGCUUGCAAAGUUUUGAUAACCGAAGAUGCUGUUAAGUGCAUGCUACAUAUAUCGAUACCGAGAUCCGGUGGGGCCUUCGUCGCAAAGGGUUGGUUUGUUUUUUGGUUCAUGCACGAGUUCGAUUUAGACAAGCUUUGUGCUUAUUUAACUAGGGAUGCUUGCGUCGGACAUCAAAACAUUUCGAUGGUAGCUUUUUUCUGACACGAUCUUAUCUUUUCCAACGUGGAGUUGCCAGACAACCUUCUAAAGCUCCGGAAAAAGGGGCAGUAUGCACUUCGUUUGGAACCACAACGUGCCAUAAAGUCAGGGUAAGUGAUGGACAGCAAAGUGAGGGAAUGGAAACCACUAAAGCUUGGUGGGCGCUUGGUGGUCAUCGUGAGAAUGGCAGCACGAAUAUAAUAAAUAAAUGAUAAAUAGUUGAUACACGUUCUUCUCACGUCAUCCCACUCCACGUAUCACUCAUGUACAAACGCAUGGACCCCAUACUGAUUACUGCAUUAUCUCGACAUACGCUGAGGUUUAUAGUUUGAGUGUUUCACGAAUGGGUUUAUUAAGUACUGUCAUAUAUAGUAGAAGCGACUCUCUCUCUCUUUCUAACGAUAAAUAGUUGAUACACGCUUUUCUCGAGAAAUUAUUGUCCGGACCACG
Molecule: long non-coding RNA, 756 nt
Filed under: Elaeis guineensis (African oil palm)
Lineage: Eukaryota; Viridiplantae; Streptophyta; Magnoliopsida; Arecales; Arecaceae
Description: long non-coding RNA (EGUI_LNC016225)
Source: RNAcentral